GCAAUUUAUCAUGGAGCCGACAACAGUCCACUGGUCUGUUUUGGGAUCAUAACGUUCUACAGAUUCAAACUGUCGGCAUGAGUCUUGGCUUGCAGGAGUGUCAUGUCCUCCCAUGGCAUAUAAAAAGUUACCAAGUACAGUGACACCAACACCUGAAAUUAUUUCAAGGAAAGAUGAGAAACCAAGAAUGAUCAACUUUACUGUUAAUACUUGAUAACUGUAAAUGAAAAACUGAAAACUGAAAAAAAAGAAACAGCAGGAAGAUUAAGGGUCAUAGCAUUCCACUGAAUUCAAGCAUGAUGAUCCAUCUCUUCCUCCAACGGCAUACAGUUUGCCAUCUAAAACAG
Molecule: long non-coding RNA, 347 nt
Organism: Exaiptasia diaphana
Lineage: Eukaryota; Metazoa; Cnidaria; Anthozoa; Actiniaria; Aiptasiidae
Exons: 3
Source: RefSeq, a predicted model, not a curated record